Molecule: long non-coding RNA, 6560 nt
Filed under: Vitis vinifera (wine grape)
Lineage: Eukaryota; Viridiplantae; Streptophyta; Magnoliopsida; Vitales; Vitaceae
Description: long non-coding RNA (VVIN_LNC004837)
Source: RNAcentral
CAUGGUUGGAAAUCACUUGCCUUACCAAGUGUUGGCCCAGGUGACUCUAAGGUGUUUUAAGUUAACUAAAAACAUAGAAAUCACUAACGGGUUACACUUUCUCUUCAUUAAAAACUAAAACAACAAAACUUCCCAAUUAUGCAUGUGGAAACUUACCCGGCUUUCCUCACUCCAAGAGACAAAAAGCUUAGCCUCUCAUCCUCUGUGGAAAAAUCCUCAGAGUUUGGUUGGCUAGAAAAUGAAAAUGAAAGAGAAGACAAGAAUAUAUAUCAAAAACAGAGCAAGUGCUCUGUUCGUUGAUUCUAUAUAUUGGAUUACAUAUAUGAUCCUCCUCUUUUACAGUGGAUGCAAGGGAAUAUAUAUAGAGGAGUUUUUCCAACCUUCCCAACUAAGAAAUCUUAUGGUUGGUGGAUUACAAGGAGAAGAAUGGAAAUUUAUACAAAAAUAUCUGAAGAAAAAUAUCCAAAAGAGUCGGUGCACAAAUAUCAAGAAGCACUAAGGACAUUUCGCAGGUGAAAAUGGUGUCUGCGAGAUUUCGCAGACACUCAAGAGGGCUGCGAAAUAUUUUCGCAACAACAAGUUAAACUCGCAGGGCUGCGAAAUUGGCUUCCACCUUGAGGUUCUCAGCGUUCCAGCUUGCGGCAUGUAUCGGGUAGCUUCAGGAGGAAUUCCAUAGCACUGUACAAAAAGGCUGCGAAAUUCUCGCAACAAAAGGCUGAUUUCGCAACACUUUGGAGUGAUCUGCUUGCAAUGGCUGUAACUCCUUCGUUUCAACUCCGAAUCGUGCACCGUUUGAAGCAUUCGAUUCUUGACUUCCUGAGCUUUGAAAUGGUAUAUAGAAUGUAGAAAAUGGACUUCGGAAAGUGCUCCAAAAGUGCGCAAGAAGACUGCAGCUAGCUUUCCUCUGUUUUCUUCACUAUGUUUUUCCUCUCUCCUUGCUUCUCUCCUUGCAUACUUUGAACGACUUUGGCAAAGGGCUAUGGAGCUCCAAAGCUUGGUUCUUCUUGAAUUUGAGCUCUUCAUUGCUUUGCCAUGGAUUCCAAAUAACUCUCCUCAAUCUUGGAUUGUUUUGGUGAUCAAAUUACUAACAAAAACACCAAAACUUACACAAUUUGAUUAGAAAUGAUUGCAAGGGUCCUUAACAUGUUAAUUGGGUUAAAAGGCAAUAACUACUACUCAAAAGUGUUUAAAAGGAUUAAUUACAAGCUACAAAAUAGCACUUUUUGAGUAGUAAUCACUCCCCCCAACCGACAUAUUGCUAGUCCCUUAGCAAUGGAGGAGAUAAAAACUAAGUAAACUAUAAUAAUAUACAUAAAAGGGAUCAUGCAAAUCACUCCAAAAAAUGAUAUGAGUGGCAUGAUGGACAUCCAUGGAUCAAUAAAGAUGUAAAACUCAACCUAUAAUUAGAGUUGUCAAAGCAUUCACUUGAUCAUAGAGUACAAAGAAUGGAUAUUAUGCAAGUUUAAGCAUCAAAAGAAUUUCCACUCUCAAAAGAUCCAAAUCACAUUCUUCCACUAAAAGCUAAGUGUUAAUGUGAUUAGCUUCCAAGUAUAGUAUGGAUAACUAUCAUCUCCCCCCAACCUAAGUCUUUCUUUAAGCUUAGCAAAAUUAACCAUCUCUUGAUAGGCUAGGAACGCACCUCUUAUUCACAAUUCUUUUCACUUACUAAACUUAACCAAUUCACCCAUGUAACAAGCAGAGGAUCGGUGACUCCCAACCAAUAAAGGCUUAGGGCACCAGGCUUUAAAGGCUUUCGCCACCCCUUCGGACCAUGCUCAGGUUUCAAGGCAAGUAAAGAAGUUUAUUCUAUUUUUUUUUUCUUUUUCUUUUUCUUUUUCUUUUUCUUUUUCUACAAAGACUCAUUGGUCUUUAUGAGGUGUCCCAACACUAUUAAAGAGAGGUUAAAGGUGUCAAAUUAUGAUUUCUCAAGCUUAGAGGGUGAGAUAGUUUCACAUCUUAUAACCGGAAUCUAAUGUAUGUGUGUGCGAAUAGCUUAAGGUGGAAGAGAUAAGUUUGCAUGCAAUGGAGUUUCAACAAUUCAUCAACUUUUAAAAGAGCAUAAUACAAACUCUAAGACUCCUGUAAUCAAGUUGAAACUCGACUUCUCUCAUUUAAUUUUUGAGAGUUAAUCCUUAAUAUCCAUGGAGUUUAAAGCAAAAAUUUUAAAAUUUAAGCAAAAAGCAACUAAAUUACCAAAAUAACUUAGCAUUAUUAACAAUACUUACUUCCUCAACUCUCCCCCCAACCAAGCUGAACAUUGUCCUCAAUGUGACAAAAGCGAUUAAAAAAUAGGGAGGAAGUGGUACCUCCUGAGUGACAUGGAGUUUGAGUCGUGUAGGAGAAACCACAUGUUUCAAAGAAAACAUAAGAGUUAGUGAGUAGAGGAAAUAGAAAAAUGUUAAGUUUAAACAAAAAAAAUGAUGUCUAUGUAUGAUGUAUCAUCAGUAAUACAUCCAAUUCUAGAAUAUAAGACAUCAAAACAUGGAAUUAUGUAUACUAAUAUAAUAUGUAAAGACAAAAAUUAAAGAGAUGAUCAAGUAAUGGUAAGGUCCUGUGGAGCUGAUGUGUCUGUGAUGGCCUCUUGAGUGGGUUGGAUCAAAACUUUGGCCUCUAUUCUGGUAGUCUCCUUAGGUGGCAUAGUCUCCUCAACUAGAGCUCUCAGUUGGUAGCUAUGGGAUUUGAUGGUUUAAGGAGGUCAGUAAUGGAGUGAGAGGCUUGGUGUGUGUGAUCUCAAGGUGCUCGGGGCUCUCCUCUUCAGAUGCAUGGUCGCAGGGCUCUGUUGGCAUUUUAGCAACUUCCCUUGGCUUUGCAAAGUGUUUUUGCAAAUCACCCUCCAUUUCACAAGUCAAUUUCGCAAUUUGAAGGCCAUUUCUAAGCUUGGAGGUGAUUUCGCAACCAUUUCGAAGCUUGGAGAUCAUUUCGCAGAAAAGUGGCAUGUUCACAGACCAUUUUUGAAGCUUGGAGCUCAUUUCAUAGCCAUUUCGCAGCUCAAAAGUGAUUUCGCAGCCCAAAAUUGAUUUCGUAGUUCAUUUCGCAGCUUCAAAAUGAGGAGAACUGUGCUGCAAAAUGGCACUCGUGUGCCAAAGUUGGUUUCGCAGCUGCGAAACACCCUUCCAAAUGGUGUCUCGGCUGCGAAAUUCUCGCUCAGCUUUGUGCGCUUGUCUUCAAACGACCAUAACUUCUUCAUUUCACCUCCAAAUUGUGCACCGUUUGAAGCUCUGGACUUCUGACUUCCCAAGCUUUGAAACAAGAUAUUGUAUGCAUAAUUUGAGCUCCAGGAAGUGCUUCAAAAAUGUGUCCAACAGUAGCGAAAUGGAGGUGCGACAUUUCCGUUCAUGGUUUGCAUAGUCAUCUUCAAACAGCCAUAACUUUUCCGUUUCAAAUCCAAAUCUAGUACCGUUUGAAGCUAUGGACUCAUGACUUCCCAAGCUUUCAAAAGAGAUAUUGCACGCAUAAUUUGAACUUCGGUAAGUGAUCGAAAUGUUUCCAACAGUUGCCGAAAUGGGGGUGCGGCUGUGAAAUUGGGAUUUUUCACAUUUUGGAACUUCGCAGCCGUUUCGCAGCUGCGAAAUGAGAGUCACUGUGCUGCGAAAUGGCACUCAUGUGCCAAAACCAGCUUCGCAAUUGCGAAAUACCCUGCGGAAUGGGACUUUUGGUGCGAAAUCAGGCUUUACCACUUCGCAAUGCGUUUCGCAGCUGCGAAAUGGAUGCUCCUGUGCUGCGAAGUGGCACUCGUGUGCCAAAAUGGGUUUCGCAGCUGCGAAAAUUUUCGCAGAGACUUCUACAGUGUUGCGGAAUGGUUUGGCAACAAAAUGCCAAUUUCGCAGAGGCUGCGAAAUCUCGCAGACCCUUGUUUUUCCCCUGUUUUCGCUCCGUUUGACUCCAAUUUUGCUCCGAUUUUGCUCCGAUUUUUUUUCUUCAAUUUCUUUGCAAUUCCUCUUGAUUUUGAUCAUCCAAAAACCUAUAUUACAUCAAAACAAACUAGAAUUAAAGCAUUGAAAUCAAAAUUAAAGCAUUGAAAUCAAAAUUAAAACAAGAAAAAAAACAAAACAAAAAGAUAUGGACUAGCUAGUCUUUAAAAAGACUAAGUCCAUCAAAAAAUUUGCUCCUGAUUUAGCUUGCCCGGAUCCCAAAUGAAGUUUGCAUCCUUCAAUUGAGACUUGGUUUGUAUGAUUUUCCCAGACAAAGCUUGGAGAAAAGGUGGAGGCAUGUGUUUCUUCAUCAAUUCUUCCUUGAUGACUAUCCUCUGUGGUUCUCUCUGUACAUUAACAUCAUAGCCAUCUUUCUCUAUGCUUUUCCCCUUUUUCUUUCCUUUGAUUUCCUCCCUCUUUUCUUUCUCUGUUUCACUCUCUACCUUAUGCUCUAGCUUGCAUGUGGGCAAAUCAACCUCUUUACCACUCCUCAGAGUGAUCACUUCCUUGACUUCCCUCUUUUGUGAAGGUUCUCCCUCCUCAACCUCCAUUUCAUGGAUACUCAUGGAAUUUUGAUAAGGUUGAGAAGGAGAGUUUUCUUCCUCUUGCAUUGUGUUGAGGUUGGCAAGCCUUGAGAUUGAAUCUUGGAGAAUAUCUAACUUUUGGGCCAUAUCAUUUUGCAUUUCAUCCAUCCUUUUAUUCAAAGUACUCUCCAUACUGUCAAUUCUUUGAUUGAUUUGAGCAUUGAUGGCUUCUUGCUUUUCAAUAAAAUCUCCCACGACCUUGCAAAGAUUCACCAUAGUUUGUUCAAGGUUUGAGGCUUGCUGUGGUGCUUGAGCAGGUUGCUGAUACUGAGGUGGCUGUGGUUUCCAAGAGAAAUUUGGAUGGUCCCUCCAAUUGGAAUUGUAAGUGUUGCAAUCACCUAACAUUUCCCUCUCGGCUGGAAUGGUAGGACACUCUUCCACCAAGUGCUCAUAUGAUAGACAAAUGGCACAAGGCAUAGCUUGCAAUGGUGUCUGAGAGAUGGCUUGCACUUCUUGCAUCUGGUUCAUUUCUAGCUCAUCCAAUCUCCUUUCCAUAGCUGCAAUCUCUGCCUUCAUGUCUAUGCCAUCAUUCAAAAUAUACAUCUCACCCUUAGCAUUAGGUUGAGACGUCAUUCUUCCCAUAUCUCUAGCAUUUGGUUCAUCCCAUCCUCUUGAGACUUCAGCCACAUAACCCAUGAAGUUCAUGGCUUCCUCUGCUAUCUCGUAUUCAAUAUGGCAUGCACAACUAGCAACUUGUGAAUUAAAAACAGAGAACACAAAAGAAAACAAAAGAAAAACAAUUCAAAGAAAGAAAAUUAAGGUAAACUAAAAACUAAAUAAAAGGUAUACUAAAAUAUGAACAAUAAAGAAAUAAAAAGAGUUAGUAAAAGGAAAAGAAAAGUCACCAAACUUGUGAUGAAGAUCACAAGUACUCUAAAAGGGUGAUAUCACUGUAAAGUGGCACCAUCCCCGGCAACGGCGCCAUUUGAUUCGUCCCUAGCAGCGGCACUGGCAAUGGCACCAUCUGAUUCGGGGUUCGAUCCCCGGCAACGGCGCCAUUUGAUUCGUCCCUAGCAGCGGCAGUGGCAAUGGCACCAUCUGAUUCGGGGUUCGAUCCUCGGCAACGGCGCCAUUUGAUUCGUGCCCAAUUGGUGUCUCAACUGAUUUGUGUCCAGCUGGUGCUCCUUGAUUGAGGGAGUAAUCAACAAAAUUUAUAAUCUAUAACACCAUAUACUAGGGUAGCAAAGAAAAAGCUACUAUAGUAUAGUGGCUCUAGGAUCGUUCACUGGGAUGGGUUUUCACUUUACAAAUGAUAUCAAUUCAAAGCUGAAUUGGUGCCUUUUCAUUUCAAGGUUAGCUUUAAAAGAAAACAUAAAGAUGUUUGAAAGAAAAGAAUUUGGUUUUAAACUAACCAAAAGUAGUAACUGAUUUUACUUAUAAAGAAAGAUGUUUCUUGGAGUUCAGAUCACUAGGCUCAGAUUCCUCAUACAAAAAGGGAGUUCCGGUCACUUGUUUAUUUUCCUCGCAUUAGAGAAUUAACAUAUAGUUAAUUCUCUAACCGGUAUUGUACAGAUGCUUCCCAUUAAUGGGUUCAAACACUAAAUCCCUCUCACUGAUGCAACUUGCAAUGGUUCAUGCCNNNNNNNNNNNNNNNNNNNNNNNNNNNNNNNNNNNNNNNNNNNNNNNNNNNNNNNNNNNNNNNNNNNNNNNNNNNNNNNNNNNNNNNNNNNNNNNNNNNNUAUCUAGAAAUCUACUUCAAGUCACUCCAAAGCUCGCAAGGGGUAAACUAGUGCAUUUCCAUGGUUGGAAAUCACUUGCCUUACCAAGUGUUGGCCCAGGUGACUCUAAGGUGUUUUAAGUUAACUAAAAACAUAGAAAUCACUAACGGGUUACACUUUCUCUUCAUUAAAAACUAAAACAACAAAACUUCCCAAUUAUGCAUGUGGAAACUUACCCGGCUUUCCUCACUCCAAGAGACAAAAAGCUUAGCCUCUCAUCCUCUGUGGAAAAAUCCUCAGAGUUUGGUUGGCUAGAAAAUGAAAAUGAAAGAGAAGACAAGAAUAUAUAUCAAAAACAGAGCAAGUGCUCUGUUCGUUGAUUCUAUAUAUUGGAUUACAUAUAUGAU